Medicago truncatula (barrel medic) is the source of this 711-nucleotide long non-coding RNA. RefSeq lists it as uncharacterized. The transcript is spliced from 2 exons. The record is from RefSeq and is a predicted model, not a curated record. Lineage: Eukaryota; Viridiplantae; Streptophyta; Magnoliopsida; Fabales; Fabaceae.
ACUUUUGUGUGUGACCUCGUCUUUUUAUUUUAUUUUAUUUUAUUAAAUGAUCUCGUUUUUUGGUGUGCUAAAGGGAGAAACACAACUCAUUGAUGCAUGUAUUGGAAACACAUUUAAUAAUAAUUUUUUAUGAACAAUUUUUCCAACUUCUUAAGUGCUAAAAUUAUUUCAUUUAUAUAUGGAGAGAAUGAGCUUUAUAAAUAUAAAGUGAUAAAAACAAUUGUUACAAGAAAAGUAACGAGAUAUGGCUAAAAUUAUCAAGUUUGUUUAUGUUAUGAUUAUCAUUAUUUCCUUCUUUCUAGUUGCAACGAAUGCUAAAGAUGACUGCUUAGUUGAUGCCGAUUGUGUAACACUUGUAUGCGAAUUUGAUGAGAGACCGCAGUGUGUGAUAAACACUUGUCGAUGCCGUCCAUUGCGGUUUUCAGGAUUUUAUUAUGAGCAGCUUCAUUGAUGCAUUUAGUGCUAGACCCAAGAAAAGUCAGCAAAUUCUCUGUUAGAAUAAUUAAGAAUUGUCAUUUACACCAUCCGAUUACAUUUAUAAUAAAAAAACAACUUUUUAAGUAUAUCCAAUAAUUAAUAUAUCUAAUCUAUAAAUGUGACCCGAUAUAUUAAUUAUUCAAUAUAUUUGAAAAUCAUUUUUUGUUAUAAAUAUAAUUGAAGAAAGUAGGUAUCUUGCUGCCACCUAAUGAAUGAAAUUUGUACUUUUUCUAA